AGCGUCCUCAGCGACGGA
RNAcentral lists this non-coding RNA (18 nucleotides) under Arabidopsis thaliana (thale cress). Lineage: Eukaryota; Viridiplantae; Streptophyta; Magnoliopsida; Brassicales; Brassicaceae. The record is from RNAcentral. RNAcentral also lists the same sequence under 1 other name.